This is a non-coding RNA of Pantherophis guttatus, 2301 nucleotides long. The record is from RefSeq and is a predicted model, not a curated record. Lineage: Eukaryota; Metazoa; Chordata; Lepidosauria; Squamata; Colubridae.
AGAAGCCGGAUUUUGCUCUCCAUUGCAGACACCAGAUCGUAAUGCACCACCUGCAAAAAUGCGAAAAUUUCCAAAUGUAGCCCUGCCCUCUUACAGCUCUCCUGAUGUUCAACUGUUGUCUCUCAAGGAGGAUACUUGGCCAGCCUCAUGCUUGAUGUCUCCCACCUUGGCAGCUUUAAGACUUGUGGACUUCAACUCCCAGAAUUCUCCACAAUUCCCCAGAAUGGGCUCAGCGGGAGUUGAAGUCCAAACGUUGUAAAAGAGCCACAAUUGCCCAGCCCUGGGCUAGGGUAGGCUGAUGCCGCGCGGAUGGGAGGAGGGGCGGGCGACCCAGCAAUUAAGUUGUGGUUUGGAGGUAUAUAUGGGGGAAAUUAUUUGGUUUAUUAUUAUUGCAAUACUGAAGUAGUUUGCCAGCGCUUUUUCCCAUCUCCCAGUUUGGAAUAUUUUGAAUUGCUGCUACCUUCCAAAUAGUGACCAGAUCCAAUCCUAAUUGAGCAGAUCAGCCAAGAUCUAUAAGUAUUCCCUCCUGCUGAAACAGGUCAAGUGUGUGAUUGGAUUUUUCAGUCAUUCUAACAUAAAGGGGAUAGAAAACCAUGGUCCUAGAAGAGUUAUAAAUUUCUGCAUGAAUAACUAUCCUGAUCUUGCUACUCUCCAAUAAAGAGGCAUAUCCAGGAGGUACUGAAGAAACAAAAGGAAUGAAUGAAAAGAAAUGCUAGAGAAAAAUUAACCUGAAGCCAGGAUAGGUGGAAGAGAAAAGAAUCCAAUAAAUCCUUAACAACAUCAUAAAUAUUAACGAAACACUCACAGUGGGAACUGGAGGUACUAUACGGUACGUACAAAGUUGGAAAUUGAGGUGGGAAAGCAAACAGACAAAGACUGAGAUGAGGGCAGUGGAAGAGAAGACGGCCAAUACAAGAGACAACACAUGAAUAAUGCAUCUGUGGAUUUUUAUUUAGACACACCAACUGCAGGGUGCAAGAAGGAAGAAAGAAUGUUCCUUCAUGUGAAAACCUUUCUGCACAAACAAGAAAUGUCAGAGAGGAUCCUGCCAAGUUUUCACUUCAGCAUGCUGUUUUUCUAUCGGCAAACAGACUGUGGCGUUCAUUUUUACUUACAGUUGUUCUUUUUUUACUUGGGUUCAUUAGGGGCGCUCUAAAGUUUGAUCUUCACAGUAGCUGAAAGUGAUACAAUCUGACAAAAGCUUUACUAUUUGAUUCUGUUGAGCAUACAAGGUAAUCCUUAAACUUUUUGUGUGUGCGUGUCAGAUAAAGCUGUCAGUUCCAGCGUUUCCCUUGUAGUUCAGUCUUCCCCUCCCCACCACAUAAGCCUCUAGCAGAUAUAAUGCAAGAUUCCCAAAGCCCCCAACAACUCCAGUAUCUUACUGGUUUCCUACAAAACGCAAAUAUGCUGUGUAAGCAAUAGUGAUCCCACUUUUUGUAUUCAGUCUUCCUAAAAUGGUAGAUCUAGGAUAAUAUUUUCAAGCUGGGGUCCUUGGAUGCUUUCAGAACUGCUAUCAGUUAAAAGACCAUUUGUGGUAGCUCCUGCUGUUCUGCUAGAUUCUGCUGCUGCUGAGAAACACUAGAUUUUUCUGAAGACACAUUGCUGAAACCACCACUACCACCCCCAAAAAACCCCAAACUCUUUCUUCUAAAAAAUGGAGCCUUUGUUACCUGAGAAACUGAAGCAGUUGAGUCCAAAGAAACAACUGGAUUUUUUUCAGAAGUUUCUUCAUCUUUAUUUGCCUUGGAACGGAACCAACGGAACCAGCCAAAACCAGUAGUCUGGAGGGAUACAAAAUCUUGAGUGAAUGUAUAAGUAUGAAAUUCUUAACUGAUGCGAAACUGUUAAAACAGAAAAAGGGUUAAAGCUUUCUUUUUGUUUUUAAAAAAUGUUUAAUAAUUUAAAAAAAAAAUGAGUGGAACAUGCUGGGCUUUUCUUCUUCUAGACAUAGAAGACAUUGAGUCUCUGAUCCAGCCAUAAGCAUGCCAUAGGGCUUAUUGUGUAAAAUAGUGUAAGAAAUUAUGAAGGAGCAGGAAGAACUGGAAUCUCACAUUUUACUGUUGAGAAUAUGAGCCUUCCCCCAACCUCAUCUUCUUCAUCUACAGUGGUUUUUCAUUCCUGUAAUUCUUCUUCUGGUCCAGCAUUAUGUUUUCAAAAGAACCCAAUUAAAUGUUUCUGAGAAGCUCACAUGUAAGCAUGGAAACAAACUAAUUUCCCUGUUGUUUGUCCUCAUACCUAAUCUUGAAUGGCAUGUUGGUUCUGAACAUGAAAGAUCCAUUAAACUUCCAUAGUCUGACUCAA